CGGGGUGUGGCGCAGCCUGGUAGCGCACUUGCAUGGGGUGCAAGGGGUCGUGAGUUCGAGUCCCACCACCCCGA
This 74-nucleotide transfer RNA is filed under the name Mesosutterella multiformis. It matches the Rfam family "tRNA". From Rfam's summary of the family: Transfer RNA (tRNA) molecules are approximately 80 nucleotides in length. The record is from Rfam by way of RNAcentral. Lineage: Bacteria; Pseudomonadati; Pseudomonadota; Betaproteobacteria; Burkholderiales; Sutterellaceae. RNAcentral also lists the same sequence under 1 other name.